GAUGAAGAACGUAGCGAAAUGCGAUAAGUAAUGUGAAUUGCAGAGUUCAGUGAAUCAUCGAAUCUUUGAACGCACAUUGCGCCCGCCAGUAUUCUGGCGGGCAUGCCUGUUCGAGCGUCAUUUCAACCAUCAAGCCCUGCUUGCGUUGGGGUCCUGCGGCUGCCCGCAGGCCCUGAAAACCAGUGGCGGGCUCGCUAGUCACACCGAGCGCAGUAAUACAUCUCGCUUUGGGCGUGCGGCGGGUUCUUGCCGUUAAACACCCCCUUUUUACCAAGGUUGACCUCGGAUCAGGUAGGAAUACCCGCUGAACUUAAGCAUAUCAAUAAGCGGAGGA
Molecule: unclassified non-coding RNA, 334 nt
Filed under: soil metagenome
Description: partial contains 5.8S ribosomal RNA, internal transcribed spacer 2, and large subunit ribosomal RNA
Rfam family: 5.8S ribosomal RNA (bases 1-120)
Source: RNAcentral